AUUGAACGCUGGCGGCAUGCUUUACACAUGCAAGUCGAACGGCAGCGCGGACUUCGGUCUGGCGGCGAGUGGCGAACGGGUGAGUAAUAUAUCGGAACGUACCCAGGGGUGGGGGAUAACGUAGCGAAAGUUACGCUAAUACCGCAUACGCUCUAUGGAGGAAGGCAGGGGAUCGCAAGACCUUGCGCGCUUGGAGCGGCCGAUAGCUGAUUAGCUAGUUGGUGGGGUAAAGGCUCACCAAGGCAACGAUCAGUAGCUGGUCUGAGAGGACGACCAGCCACACUGGGACUGAGACACGGCCCAGACUCCUACGGGAGGCAGCAGCGGGGAAUUUUGGACAAUGGGGGCAACCCUGAUCCAGCAAUGCCGCGUGAGUGAAGAAGGCCUUCGGGUUGUAAAGCUCUUUUGUCAGGGAAGAAACGGGCGUGGCUAAUAUCCAUGCCUAAUGACGGUACCUGAAGAAAAAGCACCGGCUAACUACGUGCCAGCCGCCGCCGUAA
RNAcentral lists this ribosomal RNA (500 nucleotides) under uncultured bacterium. Its description in RNAcentral is "partial 16S ribosomal RNA". It matches the Rfam family "Bacterial small subunit ribosomal RNA", at positions 30 to 523 of the family's 1533-position model. The record is from RNAcentral.